Molecule: unclassified non-coding RNA, 78 nt
Filed under: Epilithonimonas hungarica
Lineage: Bacteria; Pseudomonadati; Bacteroidota; Flavobacteriia; Flavobacteriales; Weeksellaceae
Description: Chryseobacterium hungaricum Flavo-1 RNA
Source: RNAcentral
AGCGCGCCCCGGCCUGAGUGGAGCUCUUUUUCUUUUUUACUAAAAAGAAAAAAGCGGGAACGGAGGACGGAUAAAGGC